GAUGAACGCUGACAGAAUGCUUAACACAUGCAAGUCAACUUGAAUUUGGGUUUUUAACUUAGGUUUGGGUGGCGGACGGGUGAGUAACGCGUAAAGAACUUGCCUCACAGCUAGGGACAACAUUUGGAAACGAAUGCUAAUACCUAAUAUUAUGAUAAUAGGGCAUCCUAUAAUUAUGAAAGCUAUAAGCGCUGUGAGAGAGCUUUGCGUCCCAUUAGCUAGUUGGAGAGGUAACGGCUCACCAAGGCGAUGAUGGGUAGCCGGCCUGAGAGGGUGAUCGGCCACAAGGGGACUGAGACACGGCCCUUACUCCUACGGGAGGCAGCAGUGGGGAAUAUUGGACAAUGGACCAAGAGUCUGAUCCAGCAAUUCUGUGUGCACGAUGAAGUUUUUCGGAAUGUAAAGUGCUUUCAGUUGGGAAGAAAAAAAUGACGGUACCAACAGAAGAAGUGACGGCUAAAUACGUGCCAGCAGCCGCGGUAAUACGUAUGUCACGAGCGUUAUCCGGAUUUAUUGGGCGUAAAGCGCGUCUAGGUGGUUAUAUAAGUCUGAUGUGAAAAUGCAGGGCUCAACUCUGUAUUGCGUUGGAAACUGUAUAGCUAGAGUACUGGAGAGGUAAGCGGAACUACAAGUGUAGAGGUGAAAUUCGUAGAUAUUUGUAGGAAUGCCGAUGGGGAAGCCAGCUUACUGGACAGAUACUGACGCUGAAGCGCGAAAGCGUGGGUAGCAAACAGG
This 735-nucleotide ribosomal RNA is filed under the name uncultured Fusobacterium sp. RNAcentral's name for it is "bacterial SSU rRNA". It matches the Rfam family "Bacterial small subunit ribosomal RNA", at positions 28 to 776 of the family's 1533-position model. Lineage: Bacteria; Fusobacteriati; Fusobacteriota; Fusobacteriia; Fusobacteriales; Fusobacteriaceae. The record is from RNAcentral.